This 450-nucleotide ribosomal RNA is filed under the name uncultured bacterium. RNAcentral's name for it is "partial 16S ribosomal RNA". It matches the Rfam family "Bacterial small subunit ribosomal RNA", at positions 354 to 796 of the family's 1533-position model. The record is from RNAcentral.
GUGGGGAAUUUUGGACAAUGGGCGCAAGCCUGAUCCAGCAAUGCCGCGUGCAGGAAGAAGGCCUUCGGGUUGUAAACUGCUUUUGUACGGAACGAAACGGUCCGGGUUAAUACCCUGGGCUAAUGACGGUACCGUAAGAAUAAGCACCGGCUAACUACGUGCCAGCAGCCGCGGUAAUACGUAGGGUGCAAGCGUUAAUCGGAAUUACUGGGCGUAAAGCGUGCGCAGGCGGUUUUGUAAGACAGGCGUGAAAUCCCCGGGCUCAACCUGGGAAUUGCUGUUGUGACUGAAAGGCUGGAGUGCGGCAGAGGGGGAUGGAAUUCCGCGUGUAGCAGUGAAAUGCGUAGAUAUGCGGAGGAACACCGAUGGCGAAGGCAAUCCCCUGGGCCUGCACUGACGCUCAUGCACGAAAGCGUGGGGAGCAAACAGGAUUAGAAACCCCGGUAGUCC